GACGAACGCUGGCGGCGUGCCUAAUACAUGCAAGUCGAACGAACAGCGAUGGAGCUUGCUCCAUCAAUGUGAGUGGCGGACGGGUGAGUAACACGUGGGAAACCUACCCUCUAGCGGGGGAUAACAUUCGGAAACGGAUGCUAAUACCGCAUAGGGCAUUGAAUCGCAUGAUUCGAUGAGGAAAGAUGGCUCUGCUAUCACUAGAGGAUGGUCCCGCGGUGCAUUAGCUAGUUGGUAAGGUAACGGCUUACCAAGGCCAUGAUGCAUAGCCGACCUGAGAGGGUAAUCGGCCACAUUGGGACUGAGACACGGCCCAAACUCCUACGGGAGGCAGCAGUAGGGAAUCUUCCGCAAUGGACGCAAGUCUGACGGAGCAACGCCGCGUGUGUGAAGAAGGUCUUCGGAUCGUAAAGCACUGUUGUUAGAGAAGAACACCCUGUAGGUAACUACUACAGGC
RNAcentral lists this ribosomal RNA (457 nucleotides) under uncultured bacterium. Its description in RNAcentral is "bacterial SSU rRNA". It matches the Rfam family "Bacterial small subunit ribosomal RNA", at positions 28 to 468 of the family's 1533-position model. The record is from RNAcentral.